Molecule: ribosomal RNA, 401 nt
Filed under: uncultured bacterium
Lineage: Bacteria
Description: partial 16S ribosomal RNA
Rfam family: Archaeal small subunit ribosomal RNA
Source: RNAcentral
ACACCGGCAGCUCUAGUGGUAGCAAUUUUUAUUGGGCCUAAAGCGUCCGUAGCCGGUUUAAUAAGUCUCUGGUGAAAUCCUGUAGCUUAACUGUGGGAAUUGCUGGAGAUACUAUUAGACUUGAGACCGGGAGAGGUUAGAGGUACUCCCAGGGUAGAGGUGAACUUCUGUAAUCCUGGGAGGACCGCCUGUUGCGAACGCUUCUACCUGGAACGGUUCCGACGGUGAGGGACGAAAGUUAGAGACGCGAACCGGAGUAGAUUCCCGGGUAGUCCUAACUGUAAACGAGGCGGACUUGGUGUUGGGGUGUCUUUGAGCUUCACCAGUGCCGAAGGUAAGCUGAUAAGGCACCCGCCUGGGAAGUAGGAUCGCAAGACUGAAACUGAAAGGAAUUGACGUGG